UGGCAUAGUGAAUAAUUGGGUCAAUGGUUGACGUGGCUCUCAAGUUGUGGGUGCAAGAAAACUGUUUGAUAAAAUAUCUCAAAGACAUAUUGACUUGGAGAUAAAGUAAUAGUUGAGGAAACAACAAGAUGAAGCAGAGAAACGGUUUUGAGCUUUGAAUAUGUAAUUGGGAUAUGUAGCUGACACACCUUUGUGAAUAUAUGGAGUAAUUUGAAUAUGUAGUUGAAUAUAAUAUAUGAUAUGUAGCUGACACGGCUUUGUUAAUAUACAGAGUGAUUGCUGCUAAUUUAAGAAGUGGUUUUCAGCUUUGAGGUAAAGUGUCUUCAGUUUGUAUUUUUUGUUUUACUGAUAUUACUAUACCUUUCUAAAUCUAAUUAAUAUUACAGAGAGAA
Molecule: long non-coding RNA, 392 nt
Organism: Humulus lupulus (European hop)
Lineage: Eukaryota; Viridiplantae; Streptophyta; Magnoliopsida; Rosales; Cannabaceae
Exons: 2
Source: RefSeq, a predicted model, not a curated record